UGACAGCACAGUGUUUAUUCCUCUUCCCUCUCAGGUGCUCACGUCUGAGGUGACUGACUGGCGUAAGAAUGUGGAGGCCAUGUCUGGCAUGGAGGGCCGCAAGAAGAUGUUCGACGCAUCUGGCGGCCAGUAAGCCAUGCUACAGCCUUGGGACGGGAACGACGCACAGGACAUGGUCCAGAGAGGAGGAAGAGGAGGAGGAGCUGUGUAGUCCCUGAAAGUGCCCCGCCACACACCCUACAGUACAAAGGCAGCACAAAGGCAGCAUGGGGUUAAAUUGUGAGGAGUCCAGUGCUGAGCAGUCCAUUAGAUGGAUUUGUAGUUUUGUAAAACAGGUUGUAGUUCUCUGCUGGAGUGGAAGGGUUUCUAUAAGAGUUUUACAGAGCCUGCGAUUUCUUUCAGGUACUACUUACCAAAUAUUUUACAACCCAGUAUAAACUCGUUUUGGAACCCAACCCAAUAUAUGAGAUGUAUGAGAUAAGAUACUAACAAGACUAGCGAAGUCCCCACCCCUUAAACGGAAACUCUCAGCUAAAGCACCAUCUUCACCCAAUCCUGAUACGUCCAAAUAACCAGUGACGGAAAAGCACCAAAACUACUGCUCCUCGUUAGUCGUCACAUCCUACCAACUUUUGACAGACGAUAACAUUUAUGUUCCAUGAUCUGUCCACGAGAGAUUAGGAAUUGCUGCGUUUAUAAAGCACGUGAAGAUGUGAACUACCUAAACACGAUGAAGUUCCAUAAAAGUUAAGUGAAUGAUUGGAGUAAUGUAGAAUAGUGAAGUCAUCAUAGUCCUCCACUGAGUCAAACCUUUAGGCUGAUAGUCUUACAGAAAUAGGAAAGGCUUGAGGCUGAUGAACGUUUACAGUUGUCAAUAUCAUGAUGAUUUCCAAACUAAUUAAGCAACAUGUUGCUCUCUCGGACUCGGACUCCCUCAGUGCUGAUGUCAAUGGUAAAGCAGCAUGAUUUAACCCCUCGCUGACAUCCUCUCACAUGAUCUCUCCACCCUGUCGUUGACGACUUAGCCAAUCACGCUUCUUCAAAAGCUGUGUGUGGUGCAUAUCUCACUAUUGCUAUUUAUUAUGGAAGAUUAGAUGUACGUGUCUUUUAUUUAUGCCAUUAUAAAACAUGAAUCACCAAAGGAUGUC
Molecule: long non-coding RNA, 1148 nt
Organism: Oncorhynchus kisutch (coho salmon)
Lineage: Eukaryota; Metazoa; Chordata; Actinopteri; Salmoniformes; Salmonidae
Exons: 2
Source: RefSeq, a predicted model, not a curated record